This 2172-nucleotide unclassified non-coding RNA is filed under the name Venturia canescens. RNAcentral's name for it is "probable tRNA (guanine(26)-N(2))-dimethyltransferase, transcript variant X1". Lineage: Eukaryota; Metazoa; Arthropoda; Insecta; Hymenoptera; Ichneumonidae. The record is from RNAcentral.
ACCACUAUACCAGACUGUACCUACCACGUUGUUGUGUUAUUCAAACACAACCUAUAAAUUGACAGAUAAGCAUAUUACAGUUAAAAAUUGAAUUAUAUACGAUUAUCACGAAAAAUAAUUUCACAACGACAAUAUAAUGGACGAGAAAAGUGAUACUGACAAUUCAGAAUUCAAGAAACCAGCUGUAAUAUCCGAGGGAAAGGCUGAAAUACUCUUGUUGGAGAAAAAUGUGUUUUACAAUCCGGUACAAGAGUUUAAUCGAGAUCUCAGCAUCGUCGUCCUAAGUGCUUUUUCAAAAGAUCGCCAAUUAAAUAAAGAGGAAAAUGCAACUGCUCCGUGUGACAAACUUUCACAAAGUCAACAAAGUGUUACAGCUAAAAAAAAGAAGGAAUUAGAAAAUGAAGAUGGAAUAACAAUUUUAGAAGCUCUGUCAGCCACUGGGUUGCGCAGUAUAAGAUACGCAAAGGAAGUUCCAUUUAUCAAACAGAUUGUAGCCAAUGACAUUUCAGCCAAAGCUGUCGAAAGUAUAAAAAAAAAUAUUGCUCACAACAAAGUGGAAGAUGUAGUUGUUGCAAGUCACGAAGAUGCAACAAUGCUCAUGUACCAGAGGAGAAAAGACCGUUUCCAUGCCAUUGAUUUGGAUCCUUAUGGUUGUCCAUCCAUAUUUUUGGAUGGUGCUGUCCAAUGUGUAGUCAACGGUGGUUUACUCAUGGUUACAGCGACCGACAUGGCUGUAUUAGCCGGUAAUUCUCCAGAGACCUGUUAUGUGAAAUAUGGUGCUGUUUCCUUGAAAUCGAAAUCUUGUCACGAAUUCGCUUUGAGAAUUCUUCUGCAGCAUAUAUCGACGCACGCCGGUCGUUAUGGACGUUACAUUGUUCCAUUACUCUCGAUAAGUGUUGAUUUUUAUAUUCGCGUAUUUGUACGCGUUCACGUUGGACAGUUGCAAUGUAAAAACAACACGAGUCAAUUGGGAAUGGUUUACCAAUGCAACGGUUGCGAAUCGAUUGCGAUUCAUCGAUUGGGUUUGAGAAAACAGGAUGGAGCGUACAAACUUCCAAAUGGACCACCCGUCGAUCGUCUGUGCAAAUUUUGUCAGCACAGUCACCACAUGGGAGGACCAAUCUGGUUGGGAAUUUUACAUGACAAACGCUUCGUUUCGAAGCUCUUAAACAACAUGUCUAACUCGGAGCUGGGCACGAGCAAAAGAUUGAUUGGUGUUUUAAGUGUUGUUCUCGAAGAAUUGGAUAUUCCUCUUUAUUACACUCUCGAUCGUUUGAUGUCGAUCGUUCGAUGCCAAACUCCACCGAUGGUUGUGUUCAGAUCAGCAUUGCUCAAUGCAGGCUUCAAAGUCACGUAUUCUCACGCUAACAAAGUAUCCAUAAAAACGGACGCUCCAAAUGAGGUCAUCUGGGAUAUAGUUCGAGCUUGGGAAAAGACUCAUCAAUCGAAACGGGAUAGAAUGGAAAAAGGCUGCCCCGCAUUGGCCAUUUUGGAGGCUCCUAUAACGACCGACGUUAAAUUCGAUCUUCGACCUGACGCUAAUCCUCGUUCAAGGCAAGCGCACAUGUCAAGGUUCCAGGUAAACCCAACGGCGAAUUGGGGACCAGGUGCUCGUUCGACUACAAUAGUCGAUCCGAGCGAAAAAACCUCAAAGAGGCAAAGAAACCAAAACAAAAAUACAAAGCACAAGAAGCAGUGGAACGUCGACAAGAAAGAUGAGAAACAAAUCGAAGGAGGACAAGAACAAGGAGCAAUACAGUCGAUUGAAGAAACGUUUUCGGAAGAGGUUGAGAAAAGUGUUAAAAAAAAAAAUGAUGUCGAAAACGUGGUUGGAAAAAUUUUCUUAGCCACUGAAUCUGAGAAUUUAUCGUUAAAGCGCACCAACGAUGAGCCAGUGAAUUCCGUGACUGGUGAUUCGGAGCGAUCUGCAAAAAAUCUUAAAACUUGUCCGUGAAAUGAGACAAGAACAGAAAGCGUUGAUCGGUAGAAUUGGGCCCCUGAAAGAAUGAAACUUCGAUGGAGAGGAAAGAGGGUAUUUCUAGGACGAUAAUACAGAAAAUCGAGAUGGUUCAACGCCAAAUUCUCGUACUGCGACGUAUGAGAGAAACAAAAAGAAAAGAGAGAGAAGAAGAUGGAGCAGAGGGAGAGGGAAAAUUCAUGAAGGAACUGUAG